GAUGAACGCUGGCGGCGUGCCUAAUACAUGCAAGUCGAGCGAACAGACGAGGAGCUUGCUCCUCUGACGUUAGCGGCGGACGGGUGAGUAACACGUGGAUAACCUACCUAUAAGACUGGGAUAACUUCGGGAAACCGGAGCUAAUACCGGAUAAUAUAUUGAACCGCAUGGUUCAAUAGUGAAAGACGGUUUUGCUGUCACUUAUAGAUGGAUCCGCGCCGCAUUAGCUAGUUGGUAAGGUAACGGCUUACCAAGGCAACGAUGCGUAGCCGACCUGAGAGGGUGAUCGGCCACACUGGAACUGAGACACGGUCCAGACUCCUACGGGAGGCAGCAGUAGGGAAUCUUCCGCAAUGGGCGAAAGCCUGACGGAGCAACGCCGCGUGAGUGAUGAAGGUCUUCGGAUCGUAAAACUCUGUUAUGUGGGAAGAACAAAUGUGUAAGUAACUAUGCACGUCUUGACGGUACCUAAUCAGAAAGCCACGGCUAACUACGUG
RNAcentral lists this ribosomal RNA (497 nucleotides) under uncultured bacterium. RNAcentral describes it as "partial 16S ribosomal RNA". It matches the Rfam family "Bacterial small subunit ribosomal RNA", at positions 28 to 507 of the family's 1533-position model. The record is from RNAcentral.